Molecule: small nuclear RNA, 126 nt
Filed under: Sorex araneus (European shrew)
Lineage: Eukaryota; Metazoa; Chordata; Mammalia; Eulipotyphla; Soricidae
Description: U1 spliceosomal RNA (ENSSARG00000015982.1)
Rfam family: U1 spliceosomal RNA
About the family: U1 is a small nuclear RNA (snRNA) component of the spliceosome (involved in pre-mRNA splicing). Its 5' end forms complementary base pairs with the 5' splice junction, thus defining the 5' donor site of an intron. There are significant differences in sequence and secondary structure between metazoan and yeast U1 snRNAs, the latter being much longer (568 nucleotides as compared to 164 nucleotides in human).
Source: RNAcentral
AUAUCUACCUGGCAGUGGAGAUACCAUGGUCUUGAAGGUGGUUAUCCUGGGGUGAGGCUUAUCCAUUGCACUCUGCAAAUGCAGACCCCUCCUCUUUCCCCAAAUGUGAGAAACUUGACUGUGGUC